Molecule: long non-coding RNA, 1430 nt
Organism: Anneissia japonica
Lineage: Eukaryota; Metazoa; Echinodermata; Crinoidea; Comatulida; Comatulidae
Exons: 2
Source: RefSeq, a predicted model, not a curated record
UUUUUUUUUUAAUUUAAUAUAGAACACAAUAUGGAAAAAGCAAUCCUAUGCGAGCAGAUCUCCAAACUAAAAGCUCACAACUCAGAGCUGAUGAAGUUAGCAGGACAGGUUCAAUCUAAAAAACAGGAUGCAGAAGGUGAACAACGCAGACUAGAAAGAGAUCAAUAUAGACAUUUACGAGAGUUACACCAGUUGAAGCGAUGCAUCCAGGAAUCAGCCAAUCCUCACAGUUGAAUUUCAACAUUAAUGUGUUUAUAAGGAAUUUAUGUUUAAGUAUACACACUAAGUGUCUGUUGAAUGACAGAAAAUGUGAUGAAAUUAAAAGGACAGACAGUAAAGAAGAAAAAUGCGGAGAUAAGAUGAACGAUUGCAAAAGGUGGAUGAAGAAAUUCAAGUUCAAAUUGAGGAAAAAUAGAUAAAAAUUACGAAUGAAGAUAGAGCUAUCAGUUUUAUAAUAUCAAAGCUUAUAAUUUGAAUUUAUCAUUUAAAUGAAAAUUUGAAUGAGUGGACCAAAUCUUAAAAAUAGACUUCAGUUGUAUUCAACUUGAAUGAUCAAAUUAGAUAGAUAGAUUGGAUUGGGAGGUGUGGGAGGAGGGGCUAUAGCAUCAGAUCAUUUGGUUGUCAAAUAAGGGUCAGCUAGGAAAUUGAUGCUUUCUCGUAUGUUUUGUCUUUCACUUACUGUUUGCCUUCAUAUAUACCUAAUUCAAAAGCAAGUAACCACAGGGCUCUUCACUCAUAUACAGAAUCUCAGCAGUUAAAUUCUAUGACUCGCAUGAGUGUACUCCUCAGUGUGGUUACAACUUGAUGCAACCCAAUUUGUAGAGGGCGCUAAGCUUCACCAAGUUGUAGAGGGCACUAUUCUUUUGAUAAGAACAAGUGUUGAUUGUUUGGCUUAGAGUCAGUACACUCAGUUAUUUUUAUCUUGUAUUGUACAGUAUAUUGAACGUCAAUUGUCAUUAGUACAAUUUAUGUAAAGUGGAGAUAUCGUGUAAUUAUUGUUACUAUUUAUUUUACUGUAGGCUGUCAUUUUAGGAUAUGAGCAAAGGUAGCUAUGGUGAAAUGUUAGCUAAAUUUGCGCAGCAUCAUUGACAGGGGAAAGCGUUGAUGAUUUCCACUCUUAAACUUAAAACAGUUCAUUACACUAAAAGUUUGAUACUUAUCAUUCUUCUCAUAUGUCUUUUUGAUCAAUUCUAUGUCUGAAUCAUAAAAAUUUCAUUUUGAGAAGUACAGCUCAUUUUAGCUAAUGUACCUUACUAGUACCACAGUCAUUUUUUUCAUAACAUCACAUUCUGUUUUUUUCGUAAUAUUUUUCCCCACUUCUUGGCAACAGUCUGUAGUAAAUCAAUUGCACCCAUUUCCAACAUAAAACAUGAAAUGUAACGAUACAAUACUUGAUAAUAUAUCAAUAAAAUGUUUUGUGUUUUUGUAAA